RNA transcript from Zingiber officinale, 3961 nucleotides. It is a transcript of the gene named protein ALP1-like, with no coding region annotated. NCBI's taxonomy places the organism in Eukaryota, Viridiplantae, Streptophyta, Magnoliopsida, Zingiberales, Zingiberaceae. The record is from RefSeq and is a predicted model, not a curated record. The transcript has 4 exons.
UCUCGCCACAACUCUUCCCUCUCCUCGACGUUGUCCUCACCGUGAAUCCGAGUCUUCUCCGUGACGCGUUGGCAUUCCUCACCAAGUUCUCGCCAUAGCUCUUCCCUUUCCUUGACGUUAGGUUUUUUCCUCGACGUCAACCUCGUCGCGAAUCUUCCUUCUCCGUGACCUCGCCGUGACUCUUCCCUCUCCUCGACGCAGUUCCUCGCCAGGUGAGCUAUCUUCCUCACCAAGUUCUCGCCAUAGCUCUGCCCUUUUUUUUUUGCGAUCUUGAUUUUGUUCUGAUUUUUGUUCUGCGAUCUUGAUUUUUUGUUCCCCACAAAACUGAGCAAGUUGCCUUGUCAUCUUCCUCACCAAGUUCUAAUUUUUAUUCUGCGAUCUUGAUUUUUUUUCCCCCCACAAAACUGAGCAAGUUGCCUUGUCAUCUUCCUCACCAAGUUCUGCUAUCUUCCUCACCAAGUUCUGCCUUGAUUUUUUUUCUGCUAUGUUCCUCACCAAGUUCUGCUAUCUUCCUCACCAAGUUCUUCCUUGAUUUUUUUUCUGCUAUGUUCCUCACCAAGUUCUGAUUUUUGUUCUUCUUUCAAGUCAUCUUUAGGUAUUUUUAUUUUUUCUCAAUCUUUUCUAUCUAGUUGUCUUGCAAUUUAUUUUCUUUGUAAUAUUAUGUGAGCAUGCAACUAACCAGCUACUGAUAUGAAUGUUGUUCCACACAUGCUGCUCAGAAUGCAUUUGUUUUCCACACAUAUGAAUGUUCUUCCAUGUCAUCUUUUUUGGCAAUUGCAACUUUGUCUUCGAUCUUGAUCUUUAUAUGAUAUGAAGAAGAAUAUUUUUAGUAGCUCUUCUUAUGAAGAAGAAUAUGGAAAACAGAACUUGAAACACAUGGUUAUUUGAUUUAUAGGGAAGAUGCACCUUGAGAGAUUUGCUAGCAAUAUAUGAUGCCCAUGAUUUGUUUCUUGUUUUAAAAAUGGUAACCAAUUUGCUUGUUACUAAUGAUGCUUGCCCUACCUUCCAAUCCAGAAGUUACAAUUACUUGCUGGAUUUUUUUAUGUAGAUCAAAUGGCUCGGCUUCCUAUUACCGAACAACGGCGAAAAUUAAAGAAACUAUUAUUGCUUCAACAAACAACCAACAAUAUGCUGGUCUUGUUAUUUGCUCUAUAUUAUGUACUCAUUUGUUCAUACCUUCGAGAUAAUGUUCGUCAUAUCAAAACAAAAGAAGAAAAAAGAGUCAAUCGAAUGAGAUGGAUGUGUAGAUUGACAAUGGAUUGUGAUUCUGCUUGCAUUAGUCAACUUCGCAUGGAUAGAGCAACCUUUAGGAUAUUGUGUGAUAUGGUAGCAAACAUUGGAGGACUAAAACCCACUAAGAACACAUCCAUAGAGGAGGUUGUAGCAAUGUUCAUAUAUACCUUGGCUCAUCACAAAAAAAGUAGAACAAUUAGCCUACUUUUUUACCGUAGUACAGAAACAGUGAGUCGGCAAUUUCAUCAAGUUCUUAAUGCAAUUUUAAAAUUAUAUCCUAUUUUGCUCAAGAAGCCAGAACCUAUUACUCAGGAUUGUCAAGAUGAGAAGUGGAAAUGUUUUCAGGGAUGCUUAGGAGCGUUAGAUGGAACAUUAAUUAAAGUUACACCUCCUACAGAAGAUAAACCUCGUUUUCGCACUAGAAAAGGGUGUAUUUCAACUAAUGUAUUAGGUGUUUGUUGCCCAAACAUGCAAUUCAUAUAUGUAUUACCUGGUUGGGAGGGAUCAGCACAUGAUGGUCGUGUGCUUCGAGAUGCGAUAUCAAGACCACAUGGUCUAAGGGUCCCUCAAGGUUGUUAUUACUUGGUUGACUCUGGAUAUUGCAAUGCAAAUGGAUUUCUUGUCCCAUAUCGAGGACAACGAUAUCACCUAAAAGAAUUUGAUGGCCAUCGACCGGAGACACCAGAGGAAUACUUCAACAUGAAGCAUUCCAAGGCUAGGAAUGUUAUAGAAAGAUGUUUUGGGUUGUUAAAGGGGAGAUGGAAGAUUCUUGCAUCACCAUCAUUUUUCUCCAUUCAAACCCAAAUUCGGAUUAUCAUGGCAUGUUGUCUUAUGCAUAAUUUGAUUCGCAAGUUUAUGAGCUUUGAUCCACAAGAGUCACUUAUAGCAGAUGAGGAAGAGGAAUCUGAUGGGGGAAGUGACAAUGAAGAAGUAGAGUAUAUUACGUAAAUUAAUCCAAGUAAUGAGUGGUCAUCAUUUAGAAAUAAUAUGGCAACCAAUAUGUAUAACACAUGGUCUACUAGACCUAGUGGCAAUGUUAGUGAUUGAGUUCUAUUUUGUAAGAAUGUUAUAACAAUUGCGUGUUCUGAUUUUAUAUAUGUAUUUGAAUGGUACCAGUUCUACUCGACAUUAUAAGAUUCAUAUAUUGAUAUAUUAUGUGGUGUUUUGUUUUAUAUGUAUACUCGACAUUAUAAGAUUUAUCCAUCAAUCAUUACUAAUGAUUAAAAAAGUUCUUUUAUGCCAAUAUGAUAUUCAUUUCAUACCUCUUACACUGUCAUCUUUUUUGUUAGGAUGACUACAAUUACUCCAUCAAUUGCACGUGGAAGAGGGAAAAACAAACAAUAUUGGACGGACGAGGAGGUGGAAGUGUUGGUUGACGCUCUCAUAGAACUAGCUUCUGAUCCUUUAUGGAAGGUAGAUACUGGUUUUAAAAAUGGUUAUAUGAUUCAAAUACACAAAAUGGUUUUGGGUAAGAUUCCAAGUUUCAAUAAAGCAGUUAUUCCUCAUAUUGAAUCCAAGAUCAAAUAUCUUAAAACCAAGUACAAUCCCCUCUCUGAGAUGUGUAUGCAAAGUGGGUGUCAGUGGGAUGACGUGGAGCACAAGAUUAACUGUGAAAAGCAAUGGUUCGAUGAAUGGUGUCUGACUCACCCUAAUGCUGUUGGAUUGAGGGAUUUUAAAUUUCCAUAUUUGCGCAAACUGGACAUUGUGUGGGGAAAGGACAGAGCCACGGGACUUAGUGCUGAAGAUGUGGUUGACGCAAGCAUGGAUGCUAAUUGGCAAAAGAAUUUGAAUGUGAGUUCUUCCUCGGACAAUGAAGAUGAACCUGUUUUGGACAUCCUAUCACAAGGCUCACCUUCGAGUUCGUCAUGUAACAAUGGAUCGAAAAAGAGAAAAAAACUUUCACCAAGAAGGGAAAGUUUUUACAAGAAAAAGAAAGCAGCAACACCCCAACAAACCAUUGACUCGAGAUUGGACAACUUUACUAAUAAGUUUGAGGUCAUUUGCGAUCAAAUGGCAACACAAUAUGGUACUAUUACAAAUGCUUUGAUUGCAAAGUCCAAGCCAGAAUCCAUAGGUGGUGAAAAAAUGCAGGAGGUUAUUGCUGAACUACUUAAUAUUGGCAUAUCUCCAAUGGAUGUUGGUAGGGCUGCUGAAAUUUGUUACAAUGACCCUGCCAAGGUUGAAGUUAUGUUUGCAUUGCCAAGCCAUUUGCGAAGAUCCUAUGUGCUUGGAUUUAUCUAUCCAUCUUCUAUUCCAUGAAACAUGUGUGGAUUCAUGUUUUUUUUGUUGAUGUUAAAUAACUAGGUUAUUUUGAAUUGCAUUCGGUAUUUUUGAAGUUGUAAUAUUGUAGUUAGACGCAUGCAAUAUUGUGUUAACCUAGUUAUAUUGUAUGUCGGUAAAAAUAUUUUGUAAUAUUUAGACAUCAGCUAGACCAAAACUUGUAUCAAUGCUGUAACUUUAGCACUUGCUGAUUUAGAUUCUAUUUUAUUUUGAUGAAGUUAUUGUUGGCAUAUAUUAUGUGUGGAAGUUGUUGUUUGUUCGCUUUCAGAUGGUGCAGGAAAGAGAAUGAGGGAGCUCUGCUGAGCUGGUAAUUGAUUGGGGCUGCAAUAUGUUUUCCUUGUCUCCAAGAUCUGGGAGCUGCUUUUAUAUCUGGACAGAAUGAACAUAAACAGAUUAGCGCCUGCUCCAAGAAAAAUGUCAUGUCUUCCUCCUUAGGCUCAUCUAGUUU